UCCUUCAGGUCACAGGAGCUAAGGGUCAUCGUCGAGUGAAAUAUGUCAGAAAAGUUAAGUGAGGGAGGGUCUGGCUGCUGGGAAAACAAGUGGAGAGAACCAGUGGCCAUAGAAGGGAAACCAGUUCUUGACUGAAGAUGACCACUGCGUAUUGGCCACCCUGAUUUGGCAGACGGCCCAUGAUGUUGCAGAGAGAACAGCGGCACACACUAUCCAUCUUGGCUGCACUGGAACAGGCUUCUCGGGAAGGAGAAUUGGAUGCCAGAGCCCUUGAAUUGCACGAUAGCUGAUCUCGGAAGAAGAAGAGGCGGUUGCCUCCACUCAGCCCCGCUCCAUCAAGCUCCUCACCUCUGUGCACAAGCCACCAGCCUUCCCUGGCAGGCUCUCACUUCUUCAGCCUGAUUGGGAGGCAGGUGCCUGCUCUCUGGGCAUGUUUUAUUUCCUACCGCUACGGCCAACCCAUCACUGAAUUUACUCUGAAAUGAGAAGGGGCUAAUGGAUUUGAUGACUCUCAAUAAGUUGUGUAUCCUUGAAGAUGCUAUUUUCAGGAAAGUCUCAUGUCUCCAAUACGUUAGGAUGCUGGUUGUUUUGUGGCCUCUUCACUCUGCGGUGGGAACUCUGCUCCAGCUGGGCAACCGUGCAACUGGGCUGAAGAGACAAGGGUAGAAGAAAAAGCAGGCUGAGAAUGCAUAGAAGCUUAACAUCUCUGGAUGACCUGAUGACUAAUGCAGAUAUUCACGAGGGGGAAACUGAGCUCAGAGAGAUGACACGAGGCAAAAAGUUUAUGGCAAAAGAGUAAUGAAGAUAAAGGACUCCUGGGACUUGAUCUAGUUUUCAGUAUUUAAUUUUCAAGAGCAAAUAUAUU
This is a long non-coding RNA of Acinonyx jubatus (cheetah), 865 nucleotides long. RefSeq lists it as uncharacterized. The transcript has 4 exons. The record is from RefSeq and is a predicted model, not a curated record. NCBI's taxonomy places the organism in Eukaryota, Metazoa, Chordata, Mammalia, Carnivora, Felidae.